AUGUCCCUCCUCCGCGUCCGGCUCGCCGCCGCCGCGGUGAUCGCCGUCGCCGCGCUCGUGGCCGGCGGGGACGCCUACCAGCUCACCAAACCAGGCACCGUCAUCUCGUACGACCGCCGCUCGCUCAUGGUGGACGGACAGAGGGACCUCUUCUUCUCCGGCUCCAUCCACUAUCCACGCAGCCCUUUCCACGAGUGGCCCGACCUCAUCGCCAGGGCCAAGGAAGGCGGCCUCAACGUCAUCGAGUCCUACGUCUUCUGGAACGUCCAUGAACCCGAGAUGGGCGUGUACAACUUCGAGGGGAGGUACGACAUGAUCAAGUUCUUCAAGCUGAUCCAGGAGCAUGAGAUGUACGCCAUGGUCCGUAUCGGGCCCUUCGUCCAGGCGGAGUGGAACCAUGGAGGGCUGCCUUACUGGCUCCGGGAGGUCCCCGACAUCAUCUUCCGCACAGACAACGAGCCUUUCAAGAAGCUCAUGCAGAAGUUUGUGACUCUCGUAGUGAACAAGCUCAAGGAAGCCAAGCUCUUCGCAUCACAAGGAGGCCCUAUCAUUCUAGCACAGAUCGAGAAUGAGUACCAGCACAUGGAAGCGGCGUUCAAAGAAAACGGCACCAGGUACAUCGAAUGGGCAGCUAAGAUGGCCAUCAGCACCGGCACCGGGGUGCCAUGGAUCAUGUGCAAGCAGACUAAAGCUCCAGCGGACGUGAUUCCUACCUGCAACGGUAGGCACUGCGGAGAUACAUGGCCAGGUCCAGUUGACAAGAACAAACCCCUGUUAUGGACCGAGAACUGGACUGCUCAAUAUAGAGUAUUCGGUGAUCCGCCGUCUCAGAGAUCUGCCGAGGACAUUGCGUUUGCCGUGGCGCGGUUCUUCUCGGUGGGGGGCAGCAUGGUGAACUACUACAUGUACCACGGAGGAACAAACUUUGGAAGAACGGGCGCCUCUUUCGUGAUGCCGAGAUACUACGACGAGGCGCCUCUCGACGAAUUCGGAAUGUUCAAAGAGCCCAAGUGGGGCCAUCUGAAGGACCUGCACCAUGCUUUGAGGUUGUGCAAGAAUGCUCUCCUCUUUGGGACCCCCUCCACGCAGCCAUUGGGCAAGCUCUACGAGGCGCGGGUGUUCGAGAUCCCGGAGCAGAAGGUGUGCGUGGCGUUCCUGUCCAACCACAACACCAAGGAGGACGGGACGGUGACGUUCCGCGGGCAGAACUACUUCGUGCCCCGGCGGUCUGUCAGCAUCCUGGGCGACUGCAAGACGGUGGUGUUCAGCACGCAAUACGUGAACGCGCAGCACAACCAGCGCACCUUCCACUUCACGGACCAGACGGUGCAGAACAAUGUGUGGGAGAUGUACACGGAGGGGGACAAGGUGCCCACCUACAAGUUCAGCACCGACCGGAGCGAGAAGCCCCUCGAGGCCUACAACAUGACCAAGGACAAGACCGACUACCUCUGGUACACCACCAGCUUCCUGCUGGACCCGGAGGACCUGCCGUCCAGGCUAGACAUCAAGCCGGUGCUGGAGGCGAGCAGCCAUGGGCACGCCAUGGUGGCGUUCGUCAACAAGAAGUUAGUCGGCUGCGGCCAUGGCACAAAGAUGAACAAGGCCUUCAGCCUGGAGAAGCCCAUCGAGGUCAAGGUCGGCAUCAACCACAUCUCCAUCCUGUCCAGCACGCUGGGGUUGCAGGACAGCGGGUCCUACCUGGAGCGCCGGCAGGCCGGCGUGCACUCGGUCACCAUCCAGGGCCUCAACACGGGGACGCUGGACCUCACCAGCAACGGGUGGGGACACAUCGUGGGCCUGGAGGGCGAGCGCAAGCAGGCUUUCACGGACAAGGGCGGCGAGGUGCAGUGGCAACCCGCGGUGUUCGACAAGCCGCUCACGUGGUACCGGCGGCGCUUCGACAUGCCCACCGGGGAGGACCCCGUGGUGAUCGACAUGAACCCCAUGGGCAAGGGCAUCCUGUUCGUCAACGGCGAAGGGCUGGGGCGGUACUGGAGCUCGUACAAGCACGCGCUGGGGCGGCCGUCGCAGUACCUCUACCACGUGCCGCGCUGCUUCCUGAAGCCUACGGGGAACGUGCUGACCAUCUUCGAGGAGGAAGGCGGGCGGCCGGACGCCAUCAUGAUCCUGACGGUGAAGCGCGACAACAUCUGCAGCUUCAUCUCGGAGACCAACCCCGGGCACGUGCGGUCGUGGGAGACCAAGGACAGCCAGCUGACGAUGGUGGCGGACGACCUGAAGCCGCGGGCGGUGCUGACGUGCCCGGAGAAGAAGAUGAUCCAGCAGGUGGUGUUCGCCAGCUACGGGAACCCGCUGGGGAUCUGCGGCAACUACACGUUUGGCAACUGCCACACGCCCAAGGCCAAGGAGAUUGUGGAGAAGGCGUGCGUGGGGAAGAGGAGCUGCGUGCUGGCCGUGUCGCACGAGGUGUACGGCGGGGACCUCAACUGCCCGGGCACCACGGCCACGCUGGCCGUGCAGGCAAAGUGUUCCAAGAGGCAGAGGACCGCCGAGCAAUAA
This 2523-nucleotide ribosomal RNA is filed under the name Triticum aestivum (bread wheat). RNAcentral describes it as "partial small subunit ribosomal RNA". The record is from RNAcentral. Lineage: Eukaryota; Viridiplantae; Streptophyta; Magnoliopsida; Poales; Poaceae.